GGUCUCGUAGUGUAGCGGUUAACACGCCUGCCUGUCACGCCGGAGAUCGCGGGUUCGAUUCCCGUCGAGACCGCCA
Molecule: transfer RNA, 76 nt
Filed under: Staphylococcus aureus
Lineage: Bacteria; Bacillati; Bacillota; Bacilli; Caryophanales; Staphylococcaceae
Description: tRNA-Asp
Rfam family: tRNA
About the family: Transfer RNA (tRNA) molecules are approximately 80 nucleotides in length. Their secondary structure includes four short double-helical elements and three loops (D, anti-codon, and T loops). Further hydrogen bonds mediate the characteristic L-shaped molecular structure. tRNAs have two regions of fundamental functional importance: the anti-codon, which is responsible for specific mRNA codon recognition, and the 3' end, to which the tRNAs corresponding amino acid is attached (by aminoacyl-tRNA synthetases). tRNAs cope with the degeneracy of the genetic code in two manners: having more than one tRNA (with a specific anti-codon) for a particular amino acid; and 'wobble' base-pairing, i.e. permitting non-standard base-pairing at the 3rd anti-codon position.
Source: RNAcentral